GUAUGUCACUGCAGGCACUGACAGAGAGUAGAUGGGAGGUGAAGAGAGGGAAAACACAGGUUGAGGAGACGUUAGUGAGUGUUUCAGAUAUAGAGUAUCUCACUGCAGGCACUGACAGAGAGUAGAUGGGAGGUGAAGAGAGGGAGAACAUUCCAAAAUCAAAUAUGCUAAAUAUGUGUAUGGAUUUGAUUUGACAAUAGUCCUGCUAUAGGUCUAGUACCGGAUGAGGAGGUGAGAUCUACUUACAGGAGUAGCAGUCAUCACUAUUGUGGAUGUCUUUCUGGUCUUCUCACCCAUAUAAAGGAGUGGUAUGGUGAUGCAUAUUAUCAAUGGCACUAUAUGAAAAUGUAUAUUUUACUAACCGUCAAGGCAGGGCAGGCCUAUUACUGGCAGAGAAAUUGCUUGCCUACCCGAACAUUACUUUAGUAGAUACACUACAUGACCAAAAGUUGGUCCCCCUUUGCUUCAUAUAACAGCCUCCACUCUUCUGGGAAGGUUUUCCACUAGAUGUUGGUACAUUGCUGCGUAGACUUGCUUCCACUUAGCCACAAGAGCAUUAGUGAGGUCGGGCACUGAUGUUGGGCGAUUAGGCCUGGCUUGCAGUCGGCGUUCCAAUUCAUCACAAACAUGUUUGAUGGAGUUGAGGUCAGGGAUCUUUGCAGGCCAGUCAAGUUCUUCCACAUCGAUCUCGACAAACCUUUUCUGUAUGGACCUCGCUUUGUGCACGGGGUUAUUGUCAUGUUGAAACAGGAAAAGUCCUUCCCCAAACUGUUGCCACGAAAGUAGAAGCACAGAAUCGUCUAGAAUGUCAUUGUAUGCUGUAGCGUUAAGAUGUCCCUUCACUAGAACUAAGGGUACUAGCCUGAACCAUGAAAAACAGCCCCAGACCAUUUGUAUUUGCCCUCAGGCCCCUACUCCACCACUAUCACAUAUCUACAGUACAAAAUCCAUGUGUACGUGUGUGUAUAGUGCAUAUGCUAUCGUGUGUGUGUAUGCAUGUGUCUGUGACUAUGUUUGUGUUACUUCACAUUCCCCGCUGUUCCCUAAGGUGUAUUUUUAUCUGUUUUUUAAAUCUAAUUUUACUACUUGCAUCAGUUACUUGAUGUGGAAUAGAGUUCCAUGUAGUCAUGGCUUUAUUUACAUUUACAUUUUAGUCAUUUAGCAGAUGCUCUUAUCCAGAGCGACUUACAGUAGUGAAUGCAUACAUUUCUGUGUGCCUCCCAUAGUCUGUUCUGGACUUGGGAACUGUGAAGAGACCUCUGGUGGCAUGUCCUGUGGGUUAUGCAUUUAGCCAGAAGAGAUUGAGCCACUUUGAGCCAGAAGAGAUUGACAUGCAUAGUAUUAAUAUUAGCUCUCUGUGCACAUUCAUGGGCCAGCCGUGCUGCCCUGUUCUGAGCCAAUGCUCAGAACUAAGUCCCUCUUUGUGGCACCUGACCACACGACUGAACAGUAGUACAGCUGUGACAAAACUAGGGCCUGUUGGACUUGCCUUGUUGAUAGUGUUGUUAAGAAGGUAGAGCAGCGCUUUAUUAUGGAAAUACUUCUCCCCAUCUUAGCUACUAUCAAUAUGUUUUGACCAUGACAGUUUACAUUCCUGGGUUACUCCAAGCAGUUUAGUCACCUCAACUUGCUCAAUUUCCACAUUAUUUAUCACAAGAUUUAGUUGAGGUUCAGGGUUUAGUGAAUGAUUUGUCCCAAAACAAUGCUUACAGUUUUAGAAAUAUUUAGGACUAACUUAUUCCUUGCCUCCCACUAUUAAACUAAUUGCAGCUCUUUGUUAAGUGGUGCAGUCAUUUCAGUCGCUGUGGUAGCUGACAUGUAUAGUGUUGAGUCAUCUCUAUACAUAGACAUACUGUCAUUAGUAAAGAUUGAAAAAAAGGGAGGGGCAUCGACAUCUGCCCUGGGGAAUUCCUGAUUCUACCAGGAUAUGUUGGAGAGGCUUCCAUUAAAGAACACCCUGUGUGUUCUGUUAGACAGGUAACUCUUUAUCCACAAUAUAGCAGGAGAUGUAAAGCCAUAGCACAUACGUUUUUCCAGCCUCAGACUAUGAUCAAUAAUGUUAAAAGCCGCACUGAAGUCUUAACAAAACAGCCCCCACAAUCUUUUCAUCAUCAAUUUCUCUCAGCCAAUCAUCAGUCAUUUGUACUGUGCAUGUUGAAUGUCCUUCCCUAUAAGCAUGCUGAAAGUUGGUAACAGACUGAUUGGUCGACUAGGGGUCUUUACUAUUCUUAGGUAACGGAAUGACUUUUGCUUCCCUCCAAGCCUGGGGGCACAUGCUUUCUAGUAGGCUAAAACAUUGGGCAAAUAGGAGUGGCAAUAACGUCCGCUUUUAUCCUCAGUAAUUUUCCAUCCAAGUUGUCAGACCCCGGUGUCUUGUCAUUGUUGAUAGACAACAAUACUUUUUUCACCUCUUCCAGACUGACUUUACAGAAUUCAAAAUUCCAAUGCUUGUCUUUAAUAAUUUGGUCAGAUAUACUUGGAUAUGUAGUGUCAGCGUUUGUUGCUGGCACGUCAUGCCUAAAUUUGCUAAUCUUGCCAAUGAACAAAAUCAUUAAAGUAGUUGGCAAUAUCGAUGGGUUUUGUGAUGAAUGAGCCAUCUGAUUCAAUGAAUGAUGGAGCUGAGUUUGCCUUUUUUCCCAAAAUUUAAUUGAAGGUGCUUUUUUUCCUUUUCAAAGCUUUUUACCACCAUUCUUUAUGUCAUUUAUCUUUGUUUCAUAGUGUAGUUUCUUAUUCUUUUUACUCAGGUUAGUCACAUGAUUUCUCAAUUUGCAAUACGUUUGCCAAUCGGUUGCGCAGCCAGACUUAUUUGCCAUUCCUUUUUCCUCCUCCACCAAACUUUACAGUUGGCACUAUGCAUUGAGGCAGGUAGCAUUCUCCUGGCAUCCGCCAAACCCAGAUUUGUCCGUCGGACUGCUAGAUGGUGAAGCGUGAUUCAUCACUCCAGAGAACGCGUUUUCACUGCUCCAGAGUCCAAUGGCGGAGAGCUUUAAACAACUCCAGCUGACGCUUGGCAUUGCGCAUGGCGAUCUUAGGCUUGAGUUUGAGUUUAUUUCAUUUUUACAGGGACAGUGCACAUUAAUCAACGUUUCAGUAAAAGUGCCGGUUUUAGCCAACCGGCUAAUUUUCAACCGCAGUCCCUGGGCAGGUUAUUAAAAACAAUUACAAUAUAGACAAUCAAUGAGCAGUGAGCACACGCAGAGCAACAUAGGACAAGCAAGAUGUAGCAUACAGACAGAGCAACAUAGAACAAAAAGCAACAAGACAAAACCCAUAAAAGCAACAGAGUGUUUCCACACCUCACAAGCUACAGACAACAGACAACAUGGAAAGUGGCAAUACACAGCUAGGGAUUAUGUUCACAAAUCUGAUUGACCUUUAGCCAUGUCUUCAUGCUUUUUGUGAAAGUGUGAUAGGUGGUGCAGUUAUGUGUGUCUGAUGGCAGUGUAUUCCAGACAUGGGAAGCUCUCACAGAGAAAGCAGAUUUACUAAAGGUGCUUUUCUUUAAGGGAACUAUACAGUCACCUCUCAUGGCAGACCUUGUGGAUCUGCUGCCAUAUGUUUGGGUUUUCUGUUUAACAAAAGUACUGAGUGGAGGGGGAGCCAGGCCAUUUAGGAUCUUGAAUACAAGACAUGCGUCGGUGUAUUGCACAAGAUUUUCCCAACUCAGGAGCUCAUGCUUUCUGAGGAUGUAACAGUGAUGAUGUCUAUUGGGCUUCCUAUCAAGCACUUUGAGAGCCUGUUUGUAUACAGACUGAAUGGGUUGUAAUGUUGUACAGCAAGCUUGGGCCCAACUAGUUAAGCAGUAUGUUAAGUGGGGGAGUAUCAUAGAUUUGAAGUACAGUUUUGCUACCUCUGUAGUCAAACAAUUUCGUAUAAAUCUGGAAAUUAGCGAGGUUGAAUUUGGUUAUUUGAAUUACCUUUUUCACCUGCUUUUUAAAAGAGAGGUUGGAAUCAAGUAUGAUGCCAAGGUACUUAAAAUCAGAUACCACCUGGAGCUUCUCCCCUGACACAUAGACAUCUGGCUCAGUAACAUCUGUUGCCCUCUUUCUGAAGAACAUGCAGACAGUUUUUUUCACAUUGAGAUGCAAACACGAGUCAUUGAGCCACUUUGUAACCUGGACCAUUACAGUAGUGAGUUCUUGUGCAGCUUGUUGUUUGCUCUUUGCACAUAUAUCACUGUAUCAUCUGCAUACAUUUGAACUUCAGACCCAGUACAGACAGAAGGCAGAUCAUUAAUGUACAGGCUGAACAGGAGGGGCUCCAGUAUUAACCCUUGGGGCACGCCCAUAUCAUAACUAAGAGUGGGUGACAGCUCAUUGCUCACUGACACACUGAAUUGUGCCUUCAAGGUAUGAUUUUCAUCCAUCUCAAGGCGUCAGGGGAAAAGUUGAACUUGGACAAUUUUGUGAUGAGAAUCUCAUGGUUAACAGCAUCACAAGCCUUCCUUAGGUCCAGAAACACAGCCCCAACAACGCCCCCUUUGUCCAUCUUGGACUUCACAUUUUCCAGAAGAAAGCAGUUGCCCGUUUCUGUGGAGCGUUUCGCUCUGAAGCCAAACUGCAUGGAGUGUAAUGUGAAGGGACUGUUGUUGAGGUGGGCAAUCAGUUGUUCUGCUACACACUUUUCAACAACCUUCGACACCACAGGUAGUAUACUAAUGGGCCUGUAGUUACUCACGCCAGCAGGGUCGCCCGAUUUAAAGAUGGCCGUUAUUAUGGCCGACUUCCAUACCCUUGGAAACACCCCCAGACCAAUAGAUGUGUUGGUGACCUUAGUAAUAGGUCACCAAUGAGUCACUCUUUGUAGUUUUUAAGAAAGGUAGAGUCCAGCCCAAACACAUCUUUGGCUUUAGUGAGCUAAUCACCUUGUUCACCUCAGCAUCAUUUACUAGCACUGAGCCCAAGAAACCAGUGGAGGGGUUCUGUGUCAGUACCUUGACAGAGUCAAUAAAGUAGGAAUUGAAGGCUAUUGCUAUUUCGACUGCAUCCUGUGUUAGAUUGUUAUUCACCAUGAUUUCUAGUCUUUUUGCAGUGUUACUAUGGUCUUUCCCUGUUAACUUUUUUAGAUUCUCCCAGAUCAAUUUAGAAUUUCCCUUUGCUUCACCAAUUAUGUUAAUAAAAAUGUUUGCC
RNAcentral lists this long non-coding RNA (5129 nucleotides) under Salmo salar (Atlantic salmon). RNAcentral's name for it is "lncRNA (ENSSSAG00000086222.1)". The record is from RNAcentral. Lineage: Eukaryota; Metazoa; Chordata; Actinopteri; Salmoniformes; Salmonidae.